Molecule: long non-coding RNA, 657 nt
Filed under: Homo sapiens (human)
Lineage: Eukaryota; Metazoa; Chordata; Mammalia; Primates; Hominidae
Description: HSALNT0066371
Source: RNAcentral
GGGCUUGCCAAUGUUCCUGCAUGGCUAAGUGCCUGGGUUCGUCCUAAUCGAGCUGAACACUAGUCACUGGGUUCCAUGGUUCUCUUCCAUGACCCACAACUUCUAAUAGAGCUAUAACAAGCACUGCAUGGCCCAAGAUUCCAUUCCUUGGAAUCCGUGAGGCCAAGAACCCCAGGUCAGAGAACACGAGGCUUGCCACCAUCUUGGAAGUGGCCCACCGCCAUUUUGGAAGUGGCCAACCACCAUCUUGGGAGCUCUGGGAGCAAGGACCCCUGGUAACAUUUUGGCGACCACGAAGGGACAUCCCAAGUGAUCCAUGCAAGGCUGGACUUAAAUGCUUCUGGGCAGAAAUCCGGAACAAUAAGGAGGCUCAUAUUGUCAACUUUUCUACUCUCAUCGUUCCUGUUACACAAUGUCUGAAAGAAAACAUUUCAAACAUUACAUCAAGUUCUUCAUUUGUUUCUUCUGCGUGGCUCUCAUGAUGACCUUAGUGUUCUCAUAAUUAGAGAUACUGAAGACCUUACCUUCUCUGCCAUGUGAGGAUACAGGAUGAAGGUGUCACCUGCAAGCCAGGAAGAAAGUCCUCAUGAAGACCUGACCAUAUGGCAUCCUGAUGUUGGGCUUCUGGCCUCCAAAAUCAUGAUAAAUAAAUUUCUG